UCCGGUUUGUCACCGGCAGUCUCAUUAGAGUGCCCUUGCGUAGCAACUAAUGAUAAGGGUUGCGCUCGUUGCGGGACUUAACCCAACAUCUCACGACACGAGCUGACGACAGCCAUGCAGCACCUGUGCACGGGCUCCGAAGAGGGGCCCCCGUUUCUGAGGGCUUUCCCGUGUAUGUCGAGCCUAGGUAAGGUUCUCCGCGUUGCGUCGAAUUAAACCACAUGCUCCACCGCUUGUGCGGGCCCCCGUCAAUUCCUUUGAGUUUCAGCCUUGCGGCCGUACUCCCCAGGCGGGGCACUUAAUGCGUUAGCUGCGGUACUGAGAAAUCGCUUCCCCAACACCUAGUUGACAUCGUUUAGGGCGUGGACUAC
RNAcentral lists this unclassified non-coding RNA (371 nucleotides) under uncultured bacterium. RNAcentral describes it as "contains 16S-23S intergenic spacer region". The record is from RNAcentral.